Long non-coding RNA from Ailuropoda melanoleuca (giant panda), 2326 nucleotides. RefSeq lists it as uncharacterized. Lineage: Eukaryota; Metazoa; Chordata; Mammalia; Carnivora; Ursidae. The transcript has 2 exons. The record is from RefSeq and is a predicted model, not a curated record.
GGAGGGAACCGGGAGGGAGGCGGCGGCGCCGAGGCGGCGGCGGCGGCGGCAACUUUUCCGCGCCGGACUCGUGGGCGGAGUGGGGGUGCGCCCGGCGGGUUCCCAGCCCUUCGCGAGGGGGAGGCGCCGCCCCGCCGCCGGUGGCUGGGGGGCAGCGGGGAUCGUGCAUCUGGCGGCGGCGGCGGCGGCAGAGUCCCGGGGCGCCCCCUACGGAGCGGGGGAAGGGCGGCCCAACCUUUACCCGCUCCCCGGGAGCCCACUGGGGACCCCUAGCCACUCCCCCCACCGGAGACCCAUGAGACCCAUGGGAGGGUGGUGGGGAGGGCGGGUCCCACAGAGACUGGGGCAGGUCAAGGUGGGCAGGGAGUCAGCGGCUGGGUGGGAAGGGGGAGGGCAUAUGCCGGGCUUGGGGUUAGGAGGGAUGGAUAUGCACAGUGCCUGGGCUCCUGGGGUGCCUAUUUGGCCUUUGGUGGGGAUGGGGCGGAGGAGUGGGUGGGGGUCUCCCAGAGUUCCAUGGAUGGCGGGUGACAGUGGUUCUAGUUCUCCACUUGUAAGCCAAUGAGUGGAGGGGAGGCCUUCCACUGAGGAGAUGGGGUGGGGGCCCAGUAUUGCGGGCCCCAGCUUGGUGGAGAUUGGGUGACCCCUCUCUUCUCUCCUGGCUCCUCUUGACCCAGGAGAGAAGCGCUCAUUUAGGGUUGCUUAGGAAGGGGGCCCCGGGUUUGGGAGAUUCCUGGAGGGCUGACUCCCCAGCCCUGUGUAGCAGCAGUCCUCAUGCCCUUGGGCUGCGGAAGGGUGGAAGGGCCCAGACUAAAACCUGAACCUUGCAUUCUAGCCCCACACUGACCUCUGACCCCAGCACUGGACUUGACCGCCACCAAAGCCCCCAGCCCUACACUGACUUGCCUAUCCAGCCCAGCCAGGCCCAGCCCGACCCCAUGGCCUCCUGAAUGCCUUGAAGGUGCAGUUGGCUCUCUGUCACCUGCCCCCUCCCUGCCUCAGCCCUAACCAGCUGCCUGCUCAUGAUGAAGGGUGUUGUAUGAGGGUGCCAGCCGCUGGCCCCGCCCAGUGCCCCCCCACCCCUGUGCCAUGGCCGGCUGGGGUUCCUGGGGAUGGGAUUUGCUGCCUGUCACAAAUCACAUUGCCAGGGAUUUCCAACCGACCCUGAGCCCUGCCUCUGGGGCUGCCGCCACCACCGCCACUGCUGAGGACACUGCCCGGGGACGGGGACGGGGGUGGGUGGCAGAGAGGCCCCUGCCGUCUGCAUCUGGCCUGGGGAGCAGGGCUUAGCUGCUUGUGAGCAGAGUCCACACCAAGUCGUGUUCACAGUGGCUAAGUUCCGCCCCCCGGGACCCCGCCUCCUCGGGCUCUGCCGCUGCGCCUGCCUGUGCCACUGCCUGGGCCUCCCUGGGCUCUGCCUCCCGUGCCUACUGAGCUGAAACACAGUUGAUUUGUGCAGACUGGCUCAGUUCAGCAGGAACAGGAGUCGAGCCCCCUCGGAGCCUGUGGCGCCUGCCUUCCUUGGGUGGGCUGAUGCUUGGGGAAAAGACCCAGAUCCGUGUCUGGAGGAGGGACUUGGGGAGGGAUGUAGCCUGGAAUAGGGUAGGUGGGCCCAGCUGUCUGCUGCAGGCACCCUCCCCCAACUCUGUACUUGGGGAGGGCCACCCCCACCCCUGCACAGUCCUGCCUAUACUGCCACAGUACACAUGGGCUGUACUCCUGGGGAGAACGGGCAGGUAGGUGGUUGGCCCUUCCAUGAAAAAGGGAAAACCUGUGUCUGCACACCCCUGCCAGCAACAACCCUCCCAUCCUGGAGCCUUGGUCCUUCCUCUCCCAAGCCUGGUGGGGCCUAGGCCAGGCCUGUACCUUCCCAGCAGCCAGUUACUCAAGAGGAAGCUGUCUUGGGCCCCCAGACCGUUAAAUGCCAACUCCAGCUUCCGGAACCAGGCCGGCCUGACCUGAGUGUGCCUGGCCCCUUCUCACUGAGCCCUGCAGCUUCCUAACUCAGGGGGAGGAGCCGUGACACCCUCCUGGCACGUGGGGUGGGGAGCAAGGUUCCUGUGAGCCCAGAAAGGACACAAAUGGGCCUUUUCAGUCCUCGGAUGGUCCCAAGGUAUCCAAGAGUUGAGACUGUCCAGUAUCAGAUGGGAUGGGGCUCUUUUUGGAGAAAGGGGGGGGGAAAGAGAGAGAAGCCCCCUAGGGUGUCAGGGCUGGCCUGGCGUACCUUUCCCACCCAUGGUAGGGGCGGACAUGAGCUUGGGGCAGGGUCUGUGUUGUGUUUCUCCUGUUGUCCAAUUAAAUAAAAGCUGCCUCCUGCCUCAGUCCUGAA